Molecule: transfer RNA, 68 nt
Filed under: Elsinoe ampelina
Lineage: Eukaryota; Fungi; Ascomycota; Dothideomycetes; Myriangiales; Elsinoaceae
Description: tRNA-Thr
Rfam family: tRNA
About the family: Transfer RNA (tRNA) molecules are approximately 80 nucleotides in length. Their secondary structure includes four short double-helical elements and three loops (D, anti-codon, and T loops).
Source: RNAcentral
GACGGGAUAACUAGUAACGCGUCGCACUUGUAAUGCGAAGAUCCCAGGUUCAAUUCCUGGACUCGGCA